Molecule: long non-coding RNA, 1580 nt
Organism: Chinchilla lanigera (long-tailed chinchilla)
Lineage: Eukaryota; Metazoa; Chordata; Mammalia; Rodentia; Chinchillidae
Source: Ensembl
AUGGGAGGGUGCCUGAGAACUGCCUGGUCCUUUGGUGCAGCCUUUCUGCCCUGUCUUGCCCUACCCAGCAUUUGCUCUCAAGCACCCUGUCCCUCUUGGCCUUACAGAGACCCUUGGAGGCCCCAGGAUGGGCUGCACACAGCCUCAUAUCCCAUGAGCCAAAGGGGAGGGCGAAGGGAGGGUCACUCAACCCUUCCCGAGUUCCCACAACCUCUGCACCCCUUGCCAGAAGAUUCCCCUCUUCUGGCCAAGGGGGCGCUGGAGGGCAAAGAGGUGGCCGCCUUAGACUGUGAAUGCACAGCAUUCAGUGCCCCCAUCUGUGUCCUCGGUGACCUUGGUCCUUGAAUUUGGAGAAAAUGUGCACCAAAAAGACCCCAGGAGAUUACUCAUGUUCAGCACAGACCCACGUGGCUGAGGAACAUGCCUCUGCCUCAGCUACUGUGAGAUACUUUGGCUUCCUGUGCUCAUGAAACCUGAAUGGCUACAACUCCGUGAUCCAGCACCUAACAAAAGAGGAAGCCAUUCCACAGCCUUCGUUACCCCGAGGUCCCAUUCAUCUGUAUGUUUCACAGCACGUGACACGUCUCUGACACUCACUGUGUCCCGGGUUGGGCACUGAGACUGAUCUGCAAGCAGCUCUGGCAAAGAGGCGCAGAGGAAGAGGAUCCUUCACAAGUGCCAGGAGAGACGCAACUACGUGCUUCUGUGAUCACAGCCAACUCAGCGGCACUCAGUCCCUCUCAGUGGCCUCCCUGAGGUUCUCCAGGGUCAGCCCAGCAGCCAAGGGGAAGUGAUGGCUUCCAUUGGCCCAGGCUGAGUGAGCUGGAUGAGUAGACAUGCUCAACUCCCCGGUACUAGAGUGACACCUACCAUUCCAGCUUUCCCGAAAAGUGACUCAAUAUGAAUGCCAGACAGCCCUUAGGGCCUAGGGCCAGGGCCAGAGGACCAGACACCAGAAGCACCUCUGACCUCAGUAUGGGGAGAGGACUCUACUCCUCCAUACACCACCUGAGGCCGUGAAAACACCAGUCAAGCCGCUCUAUCUCUAACGGCGCAGAUCUGAGGCAGCACCUGGAAUGGCUGUGGAAGGGGCAGCUGGUGCGGUUGGUAGGGCUCUGUGCUAAGUUGUCAGGGUGAGUGGAGUCUGGUCAAGGUAGAAGGAGCACAGAGUUGGGGUGAAGUUGCCAUGGGGCCAGCUGAAGAGAAAGGACAUGGAGAGCUCACUGUUACUGAGACUGAAGAGGUUGUAAGCACUGCAGCAACAAACCUCGGGGUUAGUUUAGCAAAGACUUAGGAAUCAGAGUCCUGAGAAUGGUAAGAGAGGAAAAGAAAUCUACAUGAUGAGCUAGGAAUUUGGGGAUCAGGUCUGAGAGGGCAAGAAGAUUCCCAUAAAAGCCAUACUCUGUCUCCCCACUCUGCUGCUGAGUGAGGAACCAAGUGACUGACUCUACCUUAGUGGCACUGUGACUUCCUUUGGCUGCUAGAGUUGUAGGGAGAUGUGAGGAGAACCACAGGAGCUGAAAAUGGACUGUUUCAGGAAUCGGUGGUUUUGAGGAUUUGGGUUUGAACUUCACUCAGGA